RNAcentral lists this ribosomal RNA (460 nucleotides) under uncultured archaeon. Its description in RNAcentral is "bacterial SSU rRNA". It matches the Rfam family "Archaeal small subunit ribosomal RNA", at positions 19 to 458 of the family's 1478-position model. The record is from RNAcentral.
GGACCCCACUGCUAUCGAGAUGGGACUAAGGUAUGCUAGUCGAACGAACUGAACUAUGUCAGUUAGUGGCACACUGCUCAGUAACACGUGGCUAACCUACCCUUAGGACGUGGAUACCCCCGAGAAAUUGGGGUUAAUCCGCGAUAGGUGUAAUGUCCUGGAAUGGUAUUACGCCCAAAGGUAAUUCAUACAUGUUUGAAUUACGCCUAAGGAUGGGGCUGCGGCCGAUCAGGCAGUUGGUGAGGUAAUGGCUCACCAAACCUUUGACCGGUACGGGCCAUGAGAGUGGUAGCCCGGAGAUGGACACUGAGACAAGGGUCCAGGCCCUAAGGGGCGCAGCAACCGCGAAACCUCCACAAUGCACUCACGUGCGAUGGGGCUAUCUCGAGUGCCACCUGAUGAAGGUGGCUUUUCCUAGGUCUUCAAAGCCUUGGGAAUAAGAGGGGGGCAAGACUGGUGU